AUCCCUUGGAGAAGGAAAAGGCUACCCACGUCAGUAUUCUGGCCUGGAGAAUUCCAUGGACUACAGUCCAUGGGGUCACAAGGAGUCGGACACGACUGAGGGACUUUCACUUUCUGUCAUCUGAGGUAGUUAUACACAAGUUCCCCAAAGCUGCUGAUUGAUUUCACGGACAUCUGGCCUGGGACUCCCACUGCAUGGGUCCUGUAUGCACCCAUGUGUAGGGCAACACCUCAUGAGCCACUACCCAGGACUUUGCUUCUACAUAUACCACAAGUUAACAUAUAUUGGGUACUUACAGGGUGCCAGACACUCUUGUGGGUGCCUGGGAAUCAUUGUUGAGCAAAAUAUGCAGAUUCUUAGCCUCACUGAGUUUCCAUUAGAGAGGGGAUGGCAGGGAAGACAGUUAAUAAAACGUAAAGAUGAAUUGUACAGUAUGUUAGUGGGAGAGUCAAUUCCUAGGUAGGUUGGUAAGUCUGGGGUCCCCGAGGAGGAGAGAGAGGUCUGGGGCUCUCAAGGAGGGUGUAUGGGUCUGGAGUUCUCAAGGAGAAGAAAAGGACAAACUUUUUUUUCUUUAAGCCCAGAGCUGAUGAUUGCACAACAAAACAAUUCAUCUUGCUCAAGGAUAUGUUUUUCCUUAAACUCUGUACCAAUGAUUAUAUGACAAUGUAUCCUACUUGAGGACUUGUUUCUCCUUCUUGAGAAUCUUCUGACUAAUCCUGUCAUCGUAAAAUGUAUCUUAAGAGAGUGGGUCUGGUAAGAUCUUUCUGUUUAUUGUUAGUUCUAAUCCCAUUAUCUUAAAAUGUAAAUUGUGGGAGUGGGUCUGGUAAGACCUUUACAACCUUGAGAUAUUCUUUUGAUUUACUGUAAUAACCAAUUGAAAGAGUGUAUAGCUCCCUUGCCAAUACUAGUGAGGGGGGCACUCUCCGCCACCUUCUGAUGUCUGCAUCAGAAGCUUUCUCUGUCACUUUUCAUACUUUAAUAAAACUCUGCUACACAGAAGCUCUUGCGUGAUCAAGACUGGUCCCUGGUUCUGAAGCUAAAUCUUCAGAAAUCACGAAUCUGAUACCGUUCACCGUAAGCUAUUGUUAGCAGUGUUCCGACUCUCCGGAUGGCCAAGCCCCGACUGGACUCAUUGGAGGGAUGGACCAACUCACCAGGAUUGGCCACAGGAUCAGGACCAACUAGACUCCCUGGCUGAGGUGGUUUUACAGACUAGGAGAGGGCUAGACCUACUGACAGCUGAAAAGAGAAGACUCUGCCUCUUCUUGAAUGAAGAGUGCUGCUUUUAUGUAAACCAAUCAGGAAUAGUCAGGAACAUGGCCCAACAGC
This is a long non-coding RNA of Bubalus bubalis (water buffalo), 1329 nucleotides long. RefSeq lists it as uncharacterized. NCBI's taxonomy places the organism in Eukaryota, Metazoa, Chordata, Mammalia, Artiodactyla, Bovidae. The record is from RefSeq and is a predicted model, not a curated record. The transcript is spliced from 3 exons.